ACUAUCGUUAACUGAAUACAUAGGUUAACGAGGCGAACCGGGGGAACUGAAACAUCUAAGUACCCCGAGGAAAAGAAAUCAACCGAGAUUCCCCCAGUAGCGGCGAGCGAACGGGGAGCAGCCCGGAGUCUGAAUCAGCUUGUGUGUUAGUGGAACGGUCUGGAAAGUCCGACGGUACAGGGUGAUAGUCCCGUACACGAAAGCACACUUGCUGUGAACUCGAAGAGUAGGGCGGGACACGUGGUAUCCUGUCUGAAUAUGGGGGGACCAUCCUCCAAGGCUAAAUACUCCUGACUGACCGAUAGUGAACCAGUACCGUGAGGGAAAGGCGAAAAGAACCCCGGCGAGGGGAGUGAAAAAGAACCUGAAACCGUGUACGUACAAGCAGUGGGAGCACCUUCGUGGUGUGACUGCGUACCUUUUGUAUAAUGGGUCAGCGACUUAUAUUCUGUAGCAAGGUUAACCGUAUAGGGGAGCCGAAGGGAAACCGAGUCUUAACUGGGCGUUAAGUUGCAGGGUAUAGACCCGAAACCCGGUGAUCUAGCCAUGGGCAGGUUGAAGGUUGGGUAACACUAACUGGAGGACCGAACCGACUAAUGUUGAAAAAUUAGCGGAUGACCUGUGGCUGGGGGUGAAAGGCCAAUCAAACCGGGAGAUAGCUGGUUCUCCCCGAAAGCUAUUUAGGUAGCGCCUCGUGAACUCAUCUUCGGGGGUAGAGCACUGUUUCGGCUAGGGGGCCAUCCCGGCUUACCAACCCGAUGCAAACUACGAAUACCGAAGAAUGUUAUCACGGGAGACACACGGCGGGUGCUAACGUCCGUCGUGAAGAGGGAAACAACCCAGACCGCCAGCUAAGGUCCCAAAGUCAUGGUUAAGUGGGAAACGAUGUGGGAAGGCACAGACAGCCAGGAUGUUGGCUUAGAAGCAGCCAUCAUUUAAAGAAAGCGUAAUAGCUCACUGGUCGAGUCGGCCUGCGCGGAAGAUGUAACGGGGCUAAACCAUGCACCGAAGCUGCGGCAGCGACACUAUGUGUUGUUGGGUAGGGGAGCGUUCUGUAAGCCGUUGAAGGUGUGCUGUGAGGCAUGCUGGAGGUAUCAGAAGUGCGAAUGCUGACAUAAGUAACGAUAAAGCGGGUGAAAAGCCCGCUCGCCGGAAGACCAAGGGUUCCUGUCCAACGUUAAUCGGGGCAGGGUGAGUCGACCCCUAAGGCGAGGCCGAAAGGCGUAGUCGAUGGGAAACAGGUUAAUAUUCCUGUACUUGGUGUUACUGCGAAGGGGGGACGGAGAAGGCUAUGUCAGCCGGGCGACGGUUGUCCCGGUUUAAGCAUGUAGGCGGAGGUUCCAGGUAAAUCCGGUACCUUAUUAACGCUGAGGUGUGAUGACGAGGCACUACGGUGCUGAAGUGAUAAAUGCCCUGCUUCCAGGAAAAGCCUCUAAGCAUCAGGUAACACGAAAUCGUACCCCAAACCGACACAGGUGGUCAGGUAGAGAAUACCAAGGCGCUUGAGAGAACUCGGGUGAAGGAACUAGGCAAAAUGGUGCCGUAACUUCGGGAGAAGGCACGCUGAUGUGUAGGUGAAGUCCCUGCGGACGGAGCUGAAAUCAGUCGAAGAUACCAGCUGGCUGCAACUGUUUAUUAAAAACACAGCACUGUGCAAACACGAAAGUGGACGUAUACGGUGUGACGCCUGCCCGGUGCCGGAAGGUUAAUUGAUGGGGUUAGCUGUAAGGCGAAGCUCUUGAUCGAAGCCCCGGUAAACGGCGGCCGUAACUAUAACGGUCCUAAGGUAGCGAAAUUCCUUGUCGGGUAAGUUCCGACCUGCACGAAUGGCGUAAUGAUGGCCAGGCUGUCUCCACCCGAGACUCAGUGAAAUUGAACUCGCUGUGAAGAUGCAGUGUACCCGCGGCAAGACGGAAAGACCCCGUGAACCUUUACUAUAGCUUGACACUGAACACUGGUCCUUGAUGUGUAGGAUAGGUGGGAGGCUUUGAAGCGUGGACGCCAGUCUGCGUGGAGCCGCCCUUGAAAUACCACCCUUUAAUGGCUGGUGUUCUAACGUAGACCCGUAAUCCGGGUUGCGGACAGUGUCUGGUGGGUAGUUUGACUGGGGCGGUCUCCUCCCAAAGAGUAACGGAGGAGCACGAAGGUUGGCUAAUCCUGGUCGGACAUCAGGAGGUUAGUGCAAUGGCAUAAGCCAGCUUGACUGCGAGCGUGACGGCGCGAGCAGGUGCGAAAGCAGGUCAUAGUGAUCCGGUGGUUCUGAAUGGAAGGGCCAUCGCUCAACGGAUAAAAGGUACUCCGGGGAUAACAGGCUGAUACCGCCCAAGAGUUCAUAUCGACGGCGGUGUUUGGCACCUCGAUGUCGGCUCAUCACAUCCUGGGGCUGAAGUAGGUCCCAAGGGUAUGGCUGUUCGCCAUUUAAAGUGGUACGCGAGCUGGGUUUAGAACGUCGUGAGACAGUUCGGUCCCUAUCUGCCGUGGGCGCUGGAGAAUUGAGGGGGGCUGCUCCUAGUACGAGAGGACCGGAGUGGACGCAUCACUGGUGUUCGGGUUGUCAUGCCAAUGGCACUGCCCGGUAGCUAAAUGCGGAAGAGAUAAGUGCUGAAAGCAUCUAAGCACGAAACUUGCCCCGAGAUGAGUUCUCCCUGAGACUUUAAGUCUCCUGAAGGAACGUUAAAGACGAUGACGUUGAUAGGUCGGGUGUGUAAGCGCAGCGAUGCGUUGAGCUAACCGAUACUAAUGAACCGUGAGGCUUAACC
Molecule: ribosomal RNA, 2759 nt
Filed under: Enterobacter cloacae
Lineage: Bacteria; Pseudomonadati; Pseudomonadota; Gammaproteobacteria; Enterobacterales; Enterobacteriaceae
Description: bacterial LSU rRNA
Rfam family: Bacterial large subunit ribosomal RNA
Source: RNAcentral